UGUCUGGGAACUGCUGAUGAGGGAUACUACUGAAACGGUAGCUAUACGCAUACGUCGCAGACAAGAGGGACUUCGGGCCUCUGCAUCAGAUGUGCCAGAUGGGAUUAGCUAGUAGGUGGUAACGGCUCACCUAGCGACGAUCCCUACUGGUCUGAAGGAUGACCACCACACUGAACUGAACACGGUCAACUCCUACGGGAGGCACAUGGGGAAUAUUGCCAAUGGGCGCAAGCCUGAUGCAGCCAUGCCGCGUGUAUGAAGAAGGCCUUCGGGUUGUAAAGUACUUUCAGCGGGGAGGAAGGUGUUGUGGUUAAUAACCACAGCAAUUGACGUUACCCGCAGAAGAAGCACCGGCUAACUCCGUGCCAGCAGCCGCGGUAAUACGGAGGGUGCAAGCGUUAAUCGGAAUUACUGGGCGUAAAGCGCACGCAGGCGGUCUGUCAAGUCGGAUGUGAAAUCCCCGGGCUCAACCUGGGAACUGCAUUCGAAACUGGCAGGCUAGAGUCUUGUAAAGGGGGGUAGAAUUCCAGGUGUAGCGGUGAAAUGCGUAAGAUCUGGAGGAAUACCGGUGGCGAAGGCGGCCCCCUGGACAAAGACUGA
RNAcentral lists this ribosomal RNA (600 nucleotides) under uncultured bacterium. Its description in RNAcentral is "bacterial SSU rRNA". It matches the Rfam family "Bacterial small subunit ribosomal RNA", at positions 114 to 743 of the family's 1533-position model. The record is from RNAcentral.